CAUUUUUUUGUGGUUAUGUACAAAGUAAGGUCUGCCCACUGAUUAUAAAUUUGAAGGGCCGCAGUAUUUUAACUGUGCAAAGGUAGCAUAAUCAUUUGCCCCCUAAUUAGGGGAUAGUAUGAAUGGCUUAACAAUUUGAUAUUUUAUUAAUUAAUAUUUAGAAUUUAAAUUUUAGGUGAGAAUUUUUAAUUAAUUCUUGGGGACGAUAAGACCCUAUAGAUCUUUAUUUUAUUAUUUUUUUUUGUUUUAUCUUAGAAGUUUAUUAGGAUAGGUAUAUUAUUUUACUGGGGUAGUAAAAGAAUUAUAGUAUUUUCUUUAAAGUUUUUUUUUUAAUUUAUUAGCCUAUAAUCUUAAUUUAAUAAGUUACCUUAGGGAUAACAGCGUAAUAUAUUUGGGGAGUUCAUAUCGAUAAAUUAUUUUGCGACCUCGAUGUUGAAUUAAAAUUAUUUUAUGGGGCAGUUUUUAUCUUUUUUUAGUCUGUUCGACUAAUAUUAUUUUACAUGAUUUGA
Molecule: ribosomal RNA, 509 nt
Filed under: Pygmarrhopalites sp. A6 AK-2018
Lineage: Eukaryota; Metazoa; Arthropoda; Collembola; Symphypleona; Arrhopalitidae
Description: partial 16S ribosomal RNA
Source: RNAcentral